GACGAACGCUGGCGGCGUGCUUAACACAUGCAAGUCGGACGGUAAGGCCCUUCGGGGUACACGAGUGGCGAACGGGUGAGUAACACGUGGGUGAUCUGCCCUGCACUUCGGGAUAAGCCUGGGAAACUGGGUCUAAUACCGGAUAGGACCACUGCCUGCAUGGGUGGUGGUGGAAAGCUUUUGCGGUGUGGGAUGGGCCCGCGGCCUAUCAGCUUGUUGGUGGGGUGAUGGCCUACCAAGGCGACGACGGGUAGCCGGCCUGAGAGGGUGACCGGCCACACUGGGACUGGGAUACGGCCCAGACUCCUACGGGAGGCAGCAGUGGGGAAUAUUGCACAAUGGGCGCAAGCCUGAUGCAGCGACGCCGCGUGAGGGAUGACGGCCUUCGGGUUGUAAACCUCUUUCAGCACCGACGAAGCGCAAGUGACGGUAGGUGCAGAAGAAGGACCGGCCAACUACGUGCCAGCCGCCGCAGUAA
RNAcentral lists this ribosomal RNA (478 nucleotides) under uncultured bacterium. Its description in RNAcentral is "partial 16S ribosomal RNA". It matches the Rfam family "Bacterial small subunit ribosomal RNA", at positions 28 to 523 of the family's 1533-position model. The record is from RNAcentral.